GGCGCAAGGAAGCUGAUUGGCGGGAUCCCU
This 30-nucleotide small nuclear RNA is filed under the name Arabidopsis thaliana (thale cress). Its description in RNAcentral is "snRNA_12963". The record is from RNAcentral. Lineage: Eukaryota; Viridiplantae; Streptophyta; Magnoliopsida; Brassicales; Brassicaceae.